AGAUAGGACACGCCCCUUUGAGCUGCGUGCUACAGCGAGGCUAAGCUAGUGGGGGCAAAGUUUCAGUGCAUUCCGUUGAUGUAGACGGCGUGAAAACGGAAACAACAAGUAUGCCGGCUAACUGUGCUGCAUACAGUUACACACUACGUCGUACGAUUGAGACAAGGAAACUUGGAAUGACUUUUCAUAGGUUUCCCAGAGACUAUGGGUUGAGGAGGAAUUGGAAGUUUGUCGGCUUAGACCUGGUGUCAUUCCAUCAGUGUUAAACUUCCCGGCUCAUCUUGGAAGAGUACGUGCCAGAAAGACCACGACCAAGCAGCCUUGAGAUCUUAGGCAGCGUCUCCCUGAGACCAAAGAACUACAGACUCUUCACAACCUGCUCAAACUCUUGGUACAGGACCUCACCACACGGGUCAAGAAGGUUUCCGUGUCAUUUCUACUCUGAAGCUCACCUUCUCCUGCUCAAACUGCUGACAAAUGUUUCUGCUGCUCUAAAGUCUGGUCUCCAGAACUUCCUAAAAACUCUCAAAGUCUCUUCUGCUGCAGGUUGCUUUGUAGAACUGUUGCAGAAAACCUCACUAAACCACAUGGAGGGGCCUCAAGAUAGUCGUCCAAAUGAAA
This is a long non-coding RNA of Amphiprion ocellaris (clown anemonefish), 621 nucleotides long. The record is from Ensembl. Lineage: Eukaryota; Metazoa; Chordata; Actinopteri; Pomacentridae.